Molecule: ribosomal RNA, 258 nt
Filed under: uncultured bacterium
Lineage: Bacteria
Description: partial 16S ribosomal RNA
Rfam family: Bacterial small subunit ribosomal RNA
Source: RNAcentral
GUCCCGGCAGUAACGAUGGACACUAGGUGUCGGAGGAUUCGACCCUCCGGUGCCGCAGCCAACGCAUUAAGUGUCCCGCCUGGGGAGUACGGCCGCAAGGUUGAACUCAAGGAAUUGACGGGCCGCACAAGCGGUGGAGUAUGUGGUUUAAUUCGACGCAACGCGAAGAACCUUACCUGGGCUUGACAUGCUGCGGAAUGGGUGAGAGACCACCCCGCUCCUUCGGGAGUCGCAGCACAGGUGCUGCAUGGCUGUCGU